UGUUGGAUUCCUAGUCUUUGCACGCACAGGUUUAUCUGGAACCUUGCGUAUAAAGGUUCUGUGGAAGGCACUGUAGGCAUAAGAGACAUUAUCUGCUCCUAGGUGUUCACUGUCUUCUGAAUCAGGCUUGGGUUUGAAGAAAACGCCCAGACAUCCAAAAUCCAGUAAUAAUUUAAGUACCAACGAACUCCAAAAGAAAUUAGAAGGUACAGUUUCUACCCCAGAGGAGGAUGCCUGCUUAAGACAGAUCAGGAGCAGGGAGGAUGGAAGUCAUGGAACACAAGGAGCUCAAGGCCAAGGUUGCUUCCUGCUUUUACCAUUAUGACUACUAUCGUUCCAUGAAGAAUGGCAUUGGAACCUACCAGAAGACAGGACACCAGUCACUACACAGGACUGAUGCAUACUUACUCAGUCUCAGCUAGGCUUGUUCCCUGAGCCCUCUCUCUACCUGAUGUUCUUGCUAAAGGCUUAUACUCUCUGAGGUCAUCCAUUGUUUGAGUUAUUC
RNAcentral lists this long non-coding RNA (505 nucleotides) under Pongo abelii (Sumatran orangutan). Its description in RNAcentral is "lncRNA (ENSPPYG00000034652.1)". The record is from RNAcentral. Lineage: Eukaryota; Metazoa; Chordata; Mammalia; Primates; Hominidae.